RNAcentral lists this ribosomal RNA (437 nucleotides) under Capnocytophaga granulosa. RNAcentral's name for it is "bacterial SSU rRNA". It matches the Rfam family "Bacterial small subunit ribosomal RNA", at positions 28 to 471 of the family's 1533-position model. The record is from RNAcentral. Lineage: Bacteria; Pseudomonadati; Bacteroidota; Flavobacteriia; Flavobacteriales; Flavobacteriaceae.
GAUGAACGCUAGCGGCAGGCCUAACACAUGCAAGUCGAGGGAGAAGCCCUUCGGGGCAGAAACCGGCGCACGGGUGCGUAACGCGUAUGCAACCUACCUUUCACAGGGGGAUAGCCCGAAGAAAUUUGGAUUAAUACCCCAUAAUAUUAUUGGAUGGCAUCCUUUGAUAAUUAAAAUUACGAUGGUGAAAGAUGGGCAUGCGUCCUAUUAGCUAGUUGGAGUGGUAACGGCACCCCAAGGCUACGAUAGGUAGGGGUCCUGAGAGGGAGAUCCCCCACACUGGUACUGAGACAGGGACCAGACUCCUACGGGAGGCAGCAGUGAGGAAUAUUGGUCAAUGGUCGGAAGACUGAACCAGCCAUGCCGCGUGCAGGAAGAAUGCCUUAUGGGUUGUAAACUGCUUUUAUAUGGGAAGAAUAAGGAGUACGUGUACUUUG